This 430-nucleotide ribosomal RNA is filed under the name Verrucomicrobiota bacterium. RNAcentral's name for it is "Verrucomicrobia bacterium partial 16S ribosomal RNA". It matches the Rfam family "Bacterial small subunit ribosomal RNA", at positions 355 to 776 of the family's 1533-position model. Lineage: Bacteria; Pseudomonadati; Verrucomicrobiota. The record is from RNAcentral.
UAGGGAAUCUUCGGCAAUGGGGGGAACCCUGACCGAGCAACGCCGCGUGAGUGAAGAAGGUUUUCGGAUCGUAAAGCUCUGUUGUUAAGGAAGAACGAGUGUGAGAAUGGAAAGUUCAUGCUGUGACGGUACCUAACCAGAAAGCCACGGCUAACUACGUGCCAGCAGCCGCGGUAAUACGUAGGUGGCAAGCGUUGUCCGGAAUUAUUGGGCGUAAAGCGCGCGCAGGUGGUUUAGAAAGUCUGAUGUGAAAGCCCACGGCUCAACCGUGGAGGGUCAUUGGAAACUAAUAAACUUGAGUGCAGGAGAGAAAAGUGGAAUUCCUAGUGUAGCGGUGAAAUGCGUAGAGAUUAGGAGGAACACCGGUGGCGAAAGCGGCUUUUUGGCCUGCAACUGACACUGAGGCGCGAAAGCGUGGGGAGCAAACAGG